AAGACUAUACUUUCAGGGAUCGUUUUUAUAAUAUGUUAUUGUAGAAGUUUUUAUGAGCGUGUAAAGCUUUGGUUAAACCACAAAGAGGUAAAUGUGUCAUUUUCUGGAAAAUCACUAUCUCGUGGCCUUUUAUUGUUGUUGUUGUUUGCUAUUGAUGGUCGUUCUUCUCUCCCUUUGGGGAAGGUAAGAGGGAAAGAGCGUGGUGUGAGUGGU
This is a small nucleolar RNA of Gorilla gorilla gorilla (western lowland gorilla), 213 nucleotides long. It matches the Rfam family "Small nucleolar RNA U3". Rfam says of the family: Small nucleolar RNAs (snoRNAs) are involved in the processing and modification of rRNA in the nucleolus. There are two main classes of snoRNAs: the box C/D class, and the box H/ACA class. U3 snoRNA is a member of the box C/D class. Lineage: Eukaryota; Metazoa; Chordata; Mammalia; Primates; Hominidae. The record is from Rfam.